This 923-nucleotide long non-coding RNA is filed under the name Homo sapiens (human). Its description in RNAcentral is "HSALNT0067936". The record is from RNAcentral. Lineage: Eukaryota; Metazoa; Chordata; Mammalia; Primates; Hominidae.
CCCUGGACGAGUCUUCACAGGUUAUGCUGGGUGGCAGUGAGUUAUGAAGGCGUAUCCUAAUCUCUAAAGUAAAACUAAACACGAUCACUAAGCAGAGUAUAGGUUAAAAAGCAACAACAGAUGCAAGGAAUCAUUUAACACCUGAUUAAUAUAAAAGAAGGCCAGAAAGGAAAAACAAGGAUGAACAGAAAACACGUAGCCAGAUGACACCGAAAUCCAAAUCAUCAGCAAUUACACUAAAAAUAAAUGAACUGAACACUCAAGAGGCAAAGACUGUCAGACUGAAAAAAGAAAGAGGAACUAACUCUAUACUAUUAAUAACAGACACACUUUAAACAUAAAAGACAGAAGUCAGGCGCCGUGGCUCACACCCGUAAUCCCAGCACUUUGGGAGGCCAAGGCAGGGUGACCACUUGAGCCCAGGAGUUCUAGACCAUCCUGAGCAACACAGCAAGACUUUGUCUCUACCAAAAAAUAAUAAUAAUAAUAAUAACAAUUAAUUUAAAAAAAUUGCAGUGGCACGCACCUAUAGUCCUAACUACUUCGGAGGCUAAGGCAAGAGGAUCUCUUGAGCCCCAGUGCUCAAGGCUGCAGUGAGCCGUGACCGCACCACCACACUCCAGCCCGAGUGACAGAGCAAGACCUUGUCUCUGAAUGAAUGAAUAUAAGAACAGAGAUAAGCUAAAAUUAAAAGGAUGAAAAAAGACAUACCACACAAACACUGAUCAAAAGAGCUGGGAUGGCUGCCUCAACAUCAGACCAAUUAAUUAGACCACAAAAAGACCAACAGGAAACGUCCUACUUAAUGGUGAAAUGUCAGAAACUUUUUCUCCCACAUCAACACGGUAACACCCACACUCACUGCUGCUGAUGAUUGUAGCUAAUGCAAAAAGGCAAAAAUAAAGAAAUUAAAGAAAUAAAAG